GAUGAACGCUGGCGGCGUGCCUAAUACAUGCAAGUCGAGCGAACAGGUAAGGAUCUUGCUCCUUUGACGUUAGCGGCGGACGGGUGAGUAACACGUGUGUAACCUACCUAUCAUACUGGUAUAACUUCGGGAAACCGGAUCUAAUCCCGGAUAAUAUUUCGAACCGCAUGGUUCGAUAGUGAAAGAUGGUUUUGCUAUCACUUAUCGAUGGACCCGCGCCGUAUUAGCUAGUUGGUAAGGUAACGGCUUACCAAGGCGACGAUACGUAGCCGACCUGAGAGGGUGAUAGGCCACACUGGAACUGAGACACGGUCCAGACUACUACGGGAGGCAGCAGUAGGGAAUCGUACGCAAUGGGCGAAAGCCUGACGGAGCAACGCCGCGUGAGUGAUGAAGGUCUUCGGAUCGUAAAACUCUGUUAUUAGGGAAGAACAUACGUGUAAGUAACUGUGCACGUCUUGACGGUACCUAAUCAGAAAGCCACGGCUAACUACGUG
RNAcentral lists this ribosomal RNA (497 nucleotides) under uncultured bacterium. Its description in RNAcentral is "partial 16S ribosomal RNA". It matches the Rfam family "Bacterial small subunit ribosomal RNA", at positions 28 to 507 of the family's 1533-position model. The record is from RNAcentral.